RNAcentral lists this long non-coding RNA (486 nucleotides) under Sinocyclocheilus grahami. Its description in RNAcentral is "lncRNA (ENSSGRG00000034757.1)". The record is from RNAcentral. Lineage: Eukaryota; Metazoa; Chordata; Actinopteri; Cypriniformes; Cyprinidae.
CUUAUGUGUGUGCAUGCGUGUGUGUUUACAUGUAUAUUUGUGUGGACUCUCAUAGGAGCUUCUGAACAGGAGUUCUCUAGAGUCACAGAAGCUGGGAUUAAUGGAAGAAGUGUCCUGUCUAAAACUGAAGCUGGGGAGCAUGGAGGAGAAACACAUCAACAGUGCUGAGAGACAACAUAAAGCUGAGAGUGUAGUGAAUCUGAUUAGCGAGCUACAGGAGCAGAUGUGUAGGAUUCGGCAGGAGAUCUCUAGUAAGAUCCAAGAGAAGCCAGCGGAGAUGGCCCCAGAGGAAGGUUGUGGCAGUGAGCCAGCGCUUGCCUCUGUGACUGAGCCAAAGCCAGCGAACCUGCAUCAGGAGGUCAAGAUGCUUAAGCAUCGAGUUAAUGAGCUGGAACAGGAGAAGAUGCAGUACGAACAGAAGCUCAAGGUGACACAGAUCAGGAGCUACAAAGGUUAAAUACAGGAAUGGAUACACUUAUUGCCGCA